AUUGAACGCUGGCGGCAGGCCUAACACAUGCAAGUCGAAUGGUAACAGGAAACAGCUUGCUGUUUCGCUGACGAGUGGCGGACGGGUGAGUAAUGUCUGGGAAACUGCCUGAUGGAGGGGGAUAACUACUGGAAACGGUAGCUAAUACCGCAUAACGUCGCAAGACCAAAGAGGGGGACCUUCGGGCCUCUUGCCAUCAGAUGUGCCCAGAUGGGAUUAGCUAGUAGGUGGGGUAACGGCUCACCUAGGCGACGAUCCCUAGCUGGUCUGAGAGGAUGACCAGCCACACUGGAACUGAGACACGGUCCAGACUCCUACGGGAGGCAGCAGUGGGGAAUAUUGCACAAUGGGCGCAAGCCUGAUGCAGCCAUGCCGCGUGUAUGAUAAGGCCUUCGGGUUGUAAAGUACUUUCAGCGGGGAGGAAGGGAGUAAAGUUAAUACCUUUGCUCAUUGACGUUACCCGCAGAAGAAGCACCGGCUAACUCCGUG
RNAcentral lists this ribosomal RNA (489 nucleotides) under uncultured bacterium. RNAcentral's name for it is "partial 16S ribosomal RNA". It matches the Rfam family "Bacterial small subunit ribosomal RNA", at positions 30 to 507 of the family's 1533-position model. The record is from RNAcentral.